RNAcentral lists this ribosomal RNA (674 nucleotides) under uncultured bacterium. RNAcentral's name for it is "bacterial SSU rRNA". It matches the Rfam family "Bacterial small subunit ribosomal RNA", at positions 582 to 1255 of the family's 1533-position model. The record is from RNAcentral.
GGAAAGUCAGGUGUGAAAGCCUACAGCUUAACUGUAGAACUGCACUUGAAACUCCCAACCUAGAGUAUGGAAGGGGCAGAUGGAAUUAGUGGUGUAGGGGUAAAAUCCGUAGAUAUCACUAGGAAUACCGAAAGCGAAGGCGAUCUGCUGGGACAUUACUGACGCUAAGGCGUGAAAGCGUGGGGAGCAAACAGGAUUAGAUACCCUGGUAGUCCACGCCCUAAACGAUGAACACUAGUCGUCGCUCUGCUAGUCAGGGCGGUGAUGCACUUAACAGAUUAAGUGUUCCGCCUGGGGAGUACGGUCGCAAGAUUAAAACUCAAAGGAAUAGACGGGGACCCGCACAAGUGGUGGAGCAUGUGGUUUAAUUCGAAGAUACGCGAAGAACCUUACCUGGCCUUGACAUUGAUUGAACACUCUAGAGAUAGAGUGGUGCCCUUCGGGGAACAUGAAAACAGGUGCUGCACGGCUGUCGUCAGCUCGUGUCGUGAGAUGUUGGGUUAAGUCCCGCAACGAGCGCAACCCUCGUCCUUAGUUGCUAGCAGUUCGGCUGAGCACUCUAAGGAGACUGCCUUCGCAAGGAGGAGGAAGGUGAGGACGACGUCAAGUCAUCAUGGCCCUUAUGGCCAGGGCUACACACGUGCUACAAUGGGGCGUACAGAGUGUUGCGAUAC